GGUAAGGACGGACACGCGUGGGAACUACAGAAGAUGAGGCCUUAACACUCCUCUCGGCAUAAAAAUCUCCGGAGGAAUGAGAGGCCAAGGAAUCUGCAUUUUAAUGUUCCAGCUGAUUGUGAUGCAAUCGUCCUCCAUCCACAGUUUCAGGAAUGCUAGCGGAGUCGAACCGCUGGAGCGCUGGUGUUGAAAGACACAACCACUUCCCACCACAUGGCCUCUAUGCUGAUGUUUCAGGGGAUCUGAUUUCCAUUUGGUAUCGUGCAAGCCCCAUCACUGCAAAGCCUGGGUUAGCAGUGUUGGCUUGAGUGAGGGAAGAAGGCUAAAUAUCCGGGAUUUGCCAAAUUCAGGAUGUGUCUAUGACAUGACAUUAGGUGUCAGAGAAUUAACAAAUAUUUCUACCAGUGUCUUCAAAGGGCAGGUAUUAAUUUUCACACUAAAUCAUGCAUUAGUUCAGGAAAAAGAGAGCCACAUGAAUUUCAAAUUUAGGGUGCACAAAAAUCCCCCCUUAUCUACUUUUUGUCUCCUCUCAGAAUAAAAGUUAGAUUUUUUACCUAAGAAAAUUUCACACUGUACAGAUUUUAAAUCUGUAGUUACCAACCCACAUAUUUCUAAGAAUGUUAUGCAAUUUUAGUCAUAAAGCAAAAAGGUAUAAUAAAGCCUCUUACAAAUAACAAUAAUCUUAGGAACUUAAAAAUAAGAAUAGACCUCAAUGAGAAACACCUAUCCUUGACCACGUUCCCUAACUCCAAAGCACGUCCCAAGAAAUUACUGGAGAUGAUUUAUUAAAAUCACCAAGCCAAUAGGUGCUGAGAAAAAAAAAAUCUGGACGGUGAAGAGUAUGAUUUGGAUUUUAGUGACCACAUGGGCUCCCUUCAAAGAUUCUUCUAGGAAGAUACGACUGUGCUGUUUUCUGCAGAAAGAGCUCACGUCUUGGCUCUGCCUCACAUCGGCUGUGUAACCCCGGGCAGGUUACUUGGCCUCCCUGAGCAUCAGCCUCCGUAUCUACAGUCGUGGAGAGAACAAUGUCCACCUACAAGUGUGAUUAUUAGAAGUCAGUGAGAUAAACUAUAUACUUAGUAAAUCUGACAUUUUCUCCAUGGCAAUAUGAAUAUCUAAUUGAGAAAGCAAGAAAAGCAAAUCACUGGAGGUUGGCCACGUGGUCCUCGGCUUCCAAGUCCUGGAGCGACUGUCAUCUGUGCAGGCAGCUGCGGCCAGCCGAGUGGAGACCUCGCGCGCCUCGCGGAGAAGCCAGGCCCCAGCCCUUGAAUAAAGAGAUGUGAAGGAAAGACAGUGAUGCAGAGCCUGUGUCCUAGAGGCUGAGGACAGACCCAGUGGCAGGAAGGCAGGCUGCAACCGGCAGCGCCUCAUUUGGAUGUAUCUGGAGUCUUGGAAGCUUGACACCCUACCUUCUCAUACAAAUGGACCGUGAGAGCUUGCGAGGGACACCCACAUAACCAGCCAGAUGAGCUGGAUCAACCCUGCUGAUCAAUGUGAUGACAGAUGUCACAGCCGUCUUGCCCUCACAUCCUAGAAGUGUGAUUUUUAAAAAUUCUUUAGCUUCCAAUUUUUAUUUUUGAUGUUAAUAAAUAUUUUGCUUUAUUUUAAAUCUAAGGAAAAUAUGCAAAGAUAGAAAAUAUCAAAACCAGAAAA
Molecule: long non-coding RNA, 1653 nt
Organism: Canis lupus familiaris (dog)
Lineage: Eukaryota; Metazoa; Chordata; Mammalia; Carnivora; Canidae
Exons: 4
Source: RefSeq, a predicted model, not a curated record